This 1671-nucleotide long non-coding RNA is filed under the name Homo sapiens (human). RNAcentral describes it as "non-protein coding lnc-NRP2-2:1". The record is from RNAcentral. Lineage: Eukaryota; Metazoa; Chordata; Mammalia; Primates; Hominidae.
UGUGCACAGCUGGUCAGAGCUUCCAGAAGGAAUAUCUUCCGAGGACUAAGGUGAUCAGGUUAAGAGGGUUCAACAUCCCACGGCCCUCACCUUCCUCCCUCCCACAUUCCAGGCAUGGAGAUAUCUGGUUUCAGAGUCAGCCCCAAAUCUCCUGCCUAUAAUUACUUUAACUGGGGUCUCUAAGGUUCCCACUUGAGGGCUAAAAUGUAGUUGGGAAAGAGGGCCUACUGGGGAGGUCUCACAGGAGGCAGUGCCCUGGGAAAUGCCAAGUCCAGACUCAGUGCCAAGCAGUAACCAUCUGCACUCGGGGACAGCGAGGAGCUGACCAUGGCCUCUGAUGACCAGCAGGUAUUAGAUGGAAGUGAAUGAGAGAGAGAGAGAGAGAGAGUAUGUGUGUGUGUGUGUAUGUGUGUGUUCGAACACAUAUGAUUGCCAGUAUGGAGAAUGAAAGAUUAAUAAUGCUUUCUGGAGAGUUUGAUGCAAAAGUGGGGGAAACGGAGAAAAGGCGCUAAGGCUAAAUCCAUCUGCAUUUGCUAUAUUUCAUUAGCUAAAGUCAGGUCAGGGCAGGGCCAAGGCCUCCAAUUGGCAAAGGACAGUGUUAUGGCUUUAAAAAGCUGAAACCCCAACCUCUAAGUAGAUCACAAUGUUUUCUGAGCUUUGCAGUAAUUUUCUAUGGAAACUAAAACCUCUAAAACAUACAAGCUGGCCCAAAUGAGAACACAAGCAAAAGAUGUGGAAGACAGCAAAACCUGAGCACUGGUUUGAACCAGGCACUGACAUUUGAAAUGCUUUAAGCCUUUUCACAUUCCUUCUUUAUUCCCUCCAAAAAAAAAAGUCUUGAGUUUAAUUUAGGUCUAUUUUGGCUGAGAUUAGCAUACCUCUGACUCACAGGAUUUAAUAAAUUAUAGUAUUAUUGAAUACAUAGGACAUCCCUCUACCCCAGCUUACUCUUAUCUUUUUAAUUUAAAAUAGUAUUCUGCUACCAAGAAGGAUGCAACUGCUAGUUUUAGAUGUAAAUAGUGUUAUUUACUGGACUUUGUGAUAUUAUUUUCUUAACUACACUUUACUAUGGCCCUGUUGAAAACAGACUAUCAAGUUUUUUGUCUCUGUUCUGUCAUCUCUCUUAAGCCAGGCACCUUUAGAGUGUUUGCAAUUUGUUCGAAGUGGUUGAGGAUCUCAGGCCCUGCUCACGUGAGGUGGAGUGCAGGGGAGCUACCGGUUUCCCUGCUGACCUGCUGAAUGCUACCUUCCCCUCGAGUUGAAUACACCUUAAGGAAAAUGAUAACACGAGGGACGUGUAACUUGUUUUGAAGCAUUAAAAACCAGCAGCUCUUCACUAUGUUCCAUAUUUUAACCAAACUACUGUAGACUACUAAACAUAGCCAAGCCAGAACAUUCCUUCUGGAUUAAGCCUAGGCCACUUGAGGGGCAGCCAGGGGUGAUGGUGUCAGGUGAGAAUCCUGUGUCUUGAAGGAGUGGCCUUUACAGGAAGAGUGCCCAUGUUUUCACCUGCAGCGUUGCCACCAGAGUGUGCAAUACCUCCUGCACACAGGCUCAGGGUAAACUGCUCCAAAGCUGGGUUUUGUGUUGCAUACAAAGUCAAUAAAAUAGUUGCUAAUCCUGAAUGGCAGCCAGUGAUGUGAAGGUACUAUUAAAGUGAACAAAAACUAG